UUAUAUAUUUGCUGCACACCUUGUCACAUAGCAGCUUUUAGACAUUGUUCUAUUUUUUGUUAUAAGUCAGAAAUGACAAGGAGGCAGCAUCACGCUAUACAAUGUCAAUGGAGACGGUUGGAUUGUUUUCCCCCCGGUGGCCGUGGUUUUCAGAUUAUGAUCUUGUCACUCUGUCUCUAUAUUAGGGGUGACCAGAGCCGUUGAAAAACAGAGUUGCGACACUCCUAUAGACUGCCAUAGGAACUUUGGAAUGCGGAAGUAACGCGUGUCGUGGAGCAGCCGAUAGUUCCAAACACUGAUAGUUCCAGCACUGAACUCCACACAUUUUCAAUGUUUCUGAAGUACGCUCGCUGGAGGUGAAAAAGAAGUCUAAACCAAGACUUAUACCUAGAUAAAAAUAACUCUCAGAUGGAUUAUCGGUGGGGAGUGGAGCAGUGGCCAGGCUGGGGGAGCUUGUCGUUCCUGUAAGCAAUGGAGUGAUGAUGAAGCUGGUUUGAAUUUGAACAGUGGAGU
Long non-coding RNA from Ctenopharyngodon idella (grass carp), 513 nucleotides. RefSeq lists it as uncharacterized. Lineage: Eukaryota; Metazoa; Chordata; Actinopteri; Cypriniformes; Xenocyprididae. The record is from RefSeq and is a predicted model, not a curated record. The transcript is spliced from 3 exons.